UGGGGAAUAUUGCACAAUGGGCGAAAGCCUGAUGCAGCGACGCCGCGUGAGUGAAGAAGUAUUUCGGUAUGUAAAGCUCUAUCAGCAGGGAAGAAAAUGACGGUACCUGACUAAGAAGCCCCGGCUAACUACGUGCCAGCAGCCGCGGUAAUACGUAGGGGGCAAGCGUUAUCCGGAUUUACUGGGUGUAAAGGGAGCGUAGACGGCGAAGCAAGUCUGAAGUGAAAACCCAGGGCUCAACCCUGGGACUGCUUUGGAAACUGUUUUGCUAGAGUGUCGGAGGGGUAAGUGGAAUUCCUAGUGUAGCGGUGAAAUGCGUAAAUAAUAGGGGGAACACCAGUGGCGAAGGCGGCUUACUGGACGAUAACUGACGUUUAGGCUCGAAAGCGUGGGGAGCAAACAGG
RNAcentral lists this ribosomal RNA (404 nucleotides) under Fusobacteriota bacterium. RNAcentral describes it as "Fusobacteria bacterium partial 16S ribosomal RNA". It matches the Rfam family "Bacterial small subunit ribosomal RNA", at positions 355 to 776 of the family's 1533-position model. Lineage: Bacteria; Fusobacteriati; Fusobacteriota. The record is from RNAcentral.